AGUGAACGCUGGCGGUAGGCCUAACACAUGCAAGUCGAACGGCACCCCAGUAAGAGCUUGCUCUUACGGGUGGCGAGUGGCGGACGGGUGGGGAAUACAUCGGAAUCUACUUUUUCGCGGGGGAUAACGUAGGGAAACUUACGCUAAUACCACAUACGACCUACGGGUGAAAGCAGGGAAUCUUCAGACCUUGGGCGAUUGAAUGAGCCGAUUUCGGUUUAGCUAGGUGGCGGGGUAAAGGCCCACCAAGGCGACGAUCCGUAGCUGGCCAGAGAGGAUGAGCGGCCACGCGGGAACAGGGCGACGGGCCAGACUCCGACGGGAGGCAGCAGUGGGGAAUUUCGGGCAGUGGGAGCAAGGCUGAUCCAGCCAUGCCGCGUGGGUGAAGAAGGCCUUCGGGUUGUAAAGCCCUUUUGUUGGGAAAGAAAAGCCGCAGGUUAAUACGCCGCUGUUCUGACGGUACCCAAAGAAUAAGCACCGGCUAACUUCGU
Molecule: ribosomal RNA, 491 nt
Filed under: uncultured bacterium
Lineage: Bacteria
Description: partial 16S ribosomal RNA
Rfam family: Bacterial small subunit ribosomal RNA
Source: RNAcentral